GCCAUGAAGUGGUGAAGAUCUUACAUUUGCAAGAGGGAGGCACUUAGGAAGCUAGUGCAUAAGUAGCAAGAGCUGUUAUGGAGGCUUAGCUGCUCAGGUGUAGAAAAGAUUGGAUUAUCUGGCUUAUAAAUUUCCCUUUCAUAACUGCCUUGAUAUUUUACACAGAACAUGAAUCCAACAAACCAGCAGAUUUUGAGCUUUGAAUUGUGUUACGAGAAAAAUAUAAGAAAACAAGAUGGCAUAGGGCAGGGACUGGGUAAUUACUGGGGUAAAUACAAGGGUGCAUAUCCACCUUAUCAUCACAAGAUAACUGCUCUUAGGACAAAUUAUCCAUUCAUAUAUCCUAGGACACAAUACUUUUAGUAGGAUACAGGCAAGCAUCAAAAAAGUAGCAAUCAAAGAGUCUAUUUAUCCUUACAAUAUUGUGGAAUGUAUCAUGUACCCCUCUAUUCUUCUUUUUCUUUUGAGAGAGAGAGAGAGA
RNAcentral lists this unclassified non-coding RNA (481 nucleotides) under Hevea brasiliensis (rubber tree). The record is from RNAcentral. Lineage: Eukaryota; Viridiplantae; Streptophyta; Magnoliopsida; Malpighiales; Euphorbiaceae.